GACGAACGCUGGCGGCGUGCUUAACACAUGCAAGUCGAGCGGUAAGGCCCUUUCGGGGGUACGACGAGCGGCGAACGGGUGAGUAACACGUGGGUGACCUGCCCUCAGUUCUGGGAUAAGCCUGGGAAACCGGGUCUAAUACUGGAUAUGACCUCAUGACGCAUGUUGUGGGGUGGAAAGCCUUGUGCGACUGAGGAUGGGCCCGCGGCCUAUCAGCUUGUUGGUGGGGUGAUGGCCUACCAAGGCGACGACGGGUAGCCGGCCUGAGAGGGCGACCGGCCACACUGGGACUGAGACACGGCCCAGACUCCUACGGGAGGCAGCAGUGGGGAAUCUUGCGCAAUGGGCGAAAGCCUGACGCAGCGACGCCGCGUGA
Molecule: ribosomal RNA, 376 nt
Filed under: uncultured bacterium
Lineage: Bacteria
Description: bacterial SSU rRNA
Rfam family: Bacterial small subunit ribosomal RNA
Source: RNAcentral